GUGAGACUCCAUUUCAAAGGAAAAAGAAGCAGCUUCUCAUUCAUUCAAGUUUUAUCAUGAGAUCGUAGCAAUUCAGUCACGUUUUCAGGCUCUGCUUCUGAUUCUCGCUCUUUUGCUAUUUUUACCUCAUCUGUAAUAAUUUCCUCCACUAAAGUCUUGAGCCCCAUAAAGUCAUCCUUGAGGCUUAAAAUCAAUCUCUUUCAAACUCCUCUUAAUGCUGAAAUUUUGGCCUCCUCCCUUGCAUCGUGAAUGUUCUUAAUUGGAUCUAUAAUGAUGAAUUCUUUCAUGAAGUUUUUCAACUUACUUUGCCAAGAUUCAUCAGAGGAAUCACUGUAUGCCAGCAAUAGCCUUACAAAAUGUAUUUCUUAAAUAAUAAGACUUGAAAGUCAAAAUUAUUCCUUGAUCCAUGGGCUGCAGAAUGGAUAUUGUGUUAAUAGGCAUGCAAAUAACAUUCAUCUUCUUGUACAUAUCCAGCAGAGCUUCUUGGUGACUCAGGGUAUUGUCAAUGAGCAGAAAUAUUUUUAAAUGAAUCUCUUUUUGUGAAGUAGGUCUCAACAGUGGGCUUAAAAUAGUUAGUAAACCAUGCUGUAAACAGAUGUGCGGUCAUCUAGGCUUUAUUGUUCCAUUUAUAGACAAAGAUAGAGCUGAUUUAGCAUAAUUUCUUAGGGCCCUAGCAUUAUCAGAAUGGUAAAUAAGCAUUGGCUUCAGCUUAAUGUCACCAUUAAUUUUAAGAUGUACUAACCCUCAAUAGGAGAGCCAGGCUGUCCUUUAAACCAUCAAAGCCAAGCAUUGACUUCUUCCAUCUCACAAUGAAAGUCUUAGAUGGUAUCUUCCUCCAAUAGAAGGCUGUUUUGUCUACACUAAAAAUCUGUGUUUUAGUAUAGCCACUUUCAUCAAUUAUCUUAGCUAGAUCUUCUGGAUGACUUGCUGCCACUUCUAUAUCCACCUUUCUGCUUCACUUUGCAUUAUUAUGUUAUGAAGAUGGCUUCAUUCCUUAAAUCUCAUGAGCCAACCUCUGCUAGCUUUCAAAUUUUCUUCUGCAGCUUCCUCACCUCUCUCAGCCUUCAUGAAAUUGAAGAGAGUUAGAGCCUUGUUCUGGAUUGGGUUUGUCUUAAAUGAAUUUUGAGGCUGGUCUGGUCUCUCCAGACCACUACAGCUUUCUCUAUAUAAGCAAUAAGGCUGUUUUGAUUUCUUGUCAUUUGUGUGCUGACUAGAGCAGAAUUUCUGUUUCCUUCAAGAACAUUUUCUUGGCACCCAUAACUUGGCUAUUUGGUGCAAGAGGCCUAGCUUUUGGCCUGUCUCUGCUUUUCACAUGCCUUUCUCACUAAAUAUAAUAAUUUCUAGCUUUUGAUUGAAAGUGGGAGACAGGUGACCCUUCCUUUUACUUGAACCCCUAGAAGCCAUUGUAUGGUUAAUACAUGGCCUAAUUUCAAUAUUGUGUCUCAGAGAAUAGGGAUGCCCGAGUACAGGGAGAGAGAUGGGAGAAUAGCCAGUCAGUGGUGUAGUCAGAAAACAUGCCGCGUUUACUAAGUUCACCAUCUUAUAUGGGUGUGAUUAGUGGUGCUCCAAAACAAUUACAGUACAAACGUCAGAGAUUAGUGAGCACAGAUCACCAAGUAGAUAAUGAUAAUGAAAAAGUAUGAAAUAUCACAAGAAUUUACCUAAAUGUGACAGACACAGAGACAUGAAAUGAGUACAUGCUGUUGGAAAAAUGAUCCCAAUAGACUUGCUUAGUGCAGCCUUGCCCCAAAUCCUCAGUUUGUUAAAUAAAAGCAAUAUUUGUGGAACACAGUAAAGCAGAGUGCCAUAAACAAGGUGCCUAUAGUUUUAUUCCUUCUAGAACUCAGAAUAGUGCUUUUCAAAAAGUAGGGACAUGAUUAACAUAUUUUCUGACCAUGCUUUAUUACUCUGUGUGUGUAUGUGUGUGUGUGUGUCUGUAGCAUGUUUAAAAUGUUAUGUAGAAGUUGACAAAAUUGCUUGAUUUUCAUUUGGAAGUGCAAGUAAAGAAAAUUGAACUGUAAGAUGUGGUCAAUUAAAAGUACUAUAAAAAGUUGAUAAUGUUAAUCAAGUACCUCAGGAAACCAAACUGGGGUAUCAGAAACAUUGUAUGGUAUUGAGAGAUAACAUACAUAAAGAUAUAACAUACAUUAAAAGAAAGUUAG
This is a long non-coding RNA of Sapajus apella (tufted capuchin), 2162 nucleotides long. RefSeq lists it as uncharacterized. The record is from RefSeq and is a predicted model, not a curated record. The transcript has 3 exons. Lineage: Eukaryota; Metazoa; Chordata; Mammalia; Primates; Cebidae.